AGUAUCUACUAGAGUCCUCAUAGUAUACCUAUUUAACAAAAUAUUGACCACCAAGGGAACAGAAUGGGGACGUUUUACCUACUCGUAAUCCUUUGUGCCAAAGUGAUAGGAUCCGAACAUGAAGUUUCUUUUUCCACUGAAAGGACCUUUAAUCUUUCACUGCUAUCUAUCGGUCUCUUUCCUCGAUACUUGCAAUCAUCUGGUCCACCCGCAAUAACAUUAAUAAUGCCAAUAGGUUCUUCUUCAGAAGCCUUGCCUGACUCCUUAUUUGUUGAGCCCUCAUCUCGUCUACUUCGUAAGUGAUCAUCUCUAGCAAAUUUUGUGAAGCUGCCAUCUCUAACCAACUGCUCGACCUCGUCCUUGAGCUGCCUACACUUGUCAGUGGUAUGACCAUGAUCAUCAUGAAAGUGACAAUAUUAAAAUCGAUAUCUCCUUUCAAGACUCUCAGGCUUGAGCCUGUGUGGCCAUUUAAUAUCUUGACCAGUUUUCUGGAUUCACGAGUACCUUUGAUCUAGACUCAUUGAGAGGUGUGUAAGUGCAGUAAUCCUUCUUUCCAUGUUUAGAAUCACGAUCCCGAUUAUAAGAUCGCCUGUCACUACCAUAGCUCCUCUUCUCAUACCUCGUCGUUAUUAUGUGAAAAUCACCUCUUUUUCCUCAAAGCCAUUCGCUUGUCAUCAAGCCUGAUAUAUUUCUGAGCUCAUUCCAUUAACUGCUGGUAAUCCCAUGCUGGAUUUUUAAUCAAGGAAUCAACAAACUUCACAUUUCGAUCUCUUUUUUGAUCGCCUCACACACUGUUUCAUGAUUGAGAUUUUCGACUUGGAUGGCCUCAGUGUUAAACUUGGAAAUAUAAUCUCGAAGGAAUUCUGCGUCCAUCUGUCGAAUCUUCUUAAGGUCGG
This 896-nucleotide unclassified non-coding RNA is filed under the name Hevea brasiliensis (rubber tree). The record is from RNAcentral. Lineage: Eukaryota; Viridiplantae; Streptophyta; Magnoliopsida; Malpighiales; Euphorbiaceae.